This 253-nucleotide ribosomal RNA is filed under the name uncultured bacterium. Its description in RNAcentral is "partial 16S ribosomal RNA". It matches the Rfam family "Bacterial small subunit ribosomal RNA", at positions 524 to 776 of the family's 1533-position model. The record is from RNAcentral.
UACGUAGGGCGCAAGCGUUGUCCGGAAUUAUUGGGCGUAAAGAGCUCGUAGGCGGCUUGUCGCGUCGAUUGUGAAAGCCCGGGGCUUAACCUCGGGUCUGCAGUCGAUACGGGCUGGCUAGAGUGUGGUAGGGGAGAUCGGAAUUCCCGGUGUAGCGGUGAAAUGCGCAGAUAUCAGGAGGAACACCGGUGGCGAAGGCGGGUCUCUGGGCCGAUAUUGACGCUGAGGAGCGAAAGCGUGGGGAGCAAACAGG